AGAGUUUGAUCCUGGCUCAGAUUGAACGCUGGCGGCAUGCCUAACACAUGCAAGUCGAACGGGUUGUAGCAAUACAACUAGUGGCGGACGGGUGAGGAAUACAUAGGAAUUUGCCUUUAGGUGGGGGAUAGUCCGGGGAAACUCGGUCUAAUACCGCAUGAUGUCGCAAGACCAAAGCAGGGGAUCGCAAGACCUUGCGCCUUUAGAGAAGCCUAUGUCGGAUUAGCUAGUUGGUAGGGUAAUGGCCUACCAAGGCUACGAUCCGUAACUGGUCUGAGAGGACGAUCAGUCACACCGGAACUGAGACACGGUCCGGACUCCUACGGGAGGCAGCAGUGGGGAAUAUUGGACAAUGGGCGCAAGCCUGAUCCAGCAAUGCCGCGUGUGUGAAGAAGGCCUUCGGGUUGUAAAGCACUUUAGGCUGGGAAGAAAAAGCUUCACCUAAUACGUGAAGCCUUGACGGUACCAGCGGAAUAAGCACCGGCUAACUCUGUGCCAGCAGCCGCGGUAAUACAGAGGGUGCUAGCGUUAAUCGGAUUUACUGGGCGUAAAGCGUGUGUAGGCGGUUCGUUAAGUCGGAUGUGAAAGCCCUGGGCUCAACCUAGGAAUUGCAUUCGAUACUGGCGAGCUAGAGUACGGUAGAGGGCGGCGGAAUUCCGGGUGUAGCGGUGAAAUGCGUAGAUAU
Molecule: ribosomal RNA, 685 nt
Filed under: uncultured Panacagrimonas sp.
Lineage: Bacteria; Pseudomonadati; Pseudomonadota; Gammaproteobacteria; Nevskiales; Nevskiaceae
Description: bacterial SSU rRNA
Rfam family: Bacterial small subunit ribosomal RNA
Source: RNAcentral